AGCCUUUUAUUUUCCACCACAAAGCCAUUAACAUAAGCUAGUGAAGAAAUAUAUUAGACAUCAUGUCUGAAGCACUGUUAAAUAUAUUGAAAAAUAUUUUGAAAACACUUGAUGGGCACGUGCUGAACUGGAGCGGAGGAAGUCACCAUGGAAACGGGGCACAGCUCAACCGUCAAACAGCUGAACGGAUGCUGUCUCUAAUGGUUGUUUUCACUAAUUUCAGAAAUGGUCAGUGUCUUCAGAAAAAGUCUGUUAGCAUCUCAUCUGUAAUGCUAACUACAAGAGAUUCUUCCAUGCUGAUGGCCGUGCGUGGAUCCAGCUGAAGAACAUUUUUAGACAUUAUGAAACAUAUUACUAAGACUGAAAAUCAUUGAUAAAUCACAAGAGUUUUGCUCCAACCCCAGUUAAGCAGACCUGAGCAGCUGCUCAAGGUUCAGCAGAAACUCUGCAGAACGGUGGUCCUCCAGCCCAGGACUGGACACCAGUGUUAUGCUGGAGAAAAAACUGCGAGGCUAAAGCAUUCAAAGUGGAAACAUCUACCGUGGUUCAUUAAUCCAGAAUUGGGAUGGAGGAAGGAGCAGAAGAAGCAGAAGAACAGAGAUUAGGAAGAGAUCUACUGGUGCCCUGUGGGAACCCAUUUACCUAUGUGUUAGUUAAACCAAAGAUUUUCUUCACUCACCUUCAUGUUGUUCCAAGCCAGACUUUUGUUCAUCUUUGAAACAUAAAUGCAGAACUUUUUGAUGAAAUCUGAGAUUUUUUUAUAUUUAUAAAAUAAUGCAUUCAAAAGAGCACCAUGAUGCAUCAGUGUUGCAUUGGCGUGAGAGCUGGCCAUCUCAGGUGCUUUUGUGAAAAUCCAUUGGGGAUUCAUAAUUUCUGAAUACUUUUUUUUUUGCUGGUUUUUUUUUUGCAUACACAAGGCAUCUGUUAAAAAAAUAUCUUAAUUUGUGUUCUGCACAAAAGGGUGUUAUGGGUUUGGGGCAAAAUGAGGGUAAGUAAUUAAUGACAGAGUUAAAAUUUUUGGUUGUUCUAAUGUGGUUAUAAUUGGUCAUAGUUUAUUGUCUUGAAAAAUUAUAUUUAUACAGAAAGAUGGAUUCAUUUGAUAAGUUUAUAGUAAAGACUUUUAAAUUGAUAAAAAAAAAAUCAAAAAUAAAUACUACUCUUUUGCAAGAUCUAUUAAAAAAAUACUGAUAAAUGUAAUGGUUUCCACAAAAUAUUGGGCAGCACAACUGUUUUAAACAUUGAUAAUAAUCAGAAAUGUUUCUUGAGCAGCAAAUCAGUAUAGUAUAAUUAUUUCUGAAGAUCAUGUAACACUGAAGACUGGAGUAAUUGUCUAAAAAAUUCAGUUUACAGGCAUAAAUUACAUUUUACAAUGCAUCCACAUAGAAAACAAUUAUUUCUGUAGUUAUAUUUCACAAUAUUACUGUUUUUACGGUCUGUUUAAUCAAAGGAGGCUUAAGAUGUGAUCAAGAAUUUACAUGAAAGAUGUGUCAAUAAAUGUGUCAAUAUAC
Molecule: long non-coding RNA, 1508 nt
Organism: Carassius carassius (crucian carp)
Lineage: Eukaryota; Metazoa; Chordata; Actinopteri; Cypriniformes; Cyprinidae
Exons: 6
Source: RefSeq, a predicted model, not a curated record